UCCGAUUGAUCCUCGCAUCUCAUUGGUCC
Molecule: non-coding RNA, 29 nt
Filed under: Mus musculus (house mouse)
Lineage: Eukaryota; Metazoa; Chordata; Mammalia; Rodentia; Muridae
Source: RNAcentral